GAUGAACGCUGGCGGCGUGCCUAAUACAUGCAAGUCGAGCGAACAGACGAGGAGCUUGCUCCUCUGACGUUAGCGGCGGACGGGUGAGUAACACGUGGAUAACCUACCUAUAAGACUGGGAUAACUUCGGGAAACCGGAGCUAAUACCGGAUAAUAUAUUGAACCGCAUGGUUCAAUAGUGAAAGACGGUUUUGCUGUCACUUAUAGAUGGAUCCGCGCCGCAUUAGCUAGUUGGUAAGGUAACGGCUUACCAAGGCAACGAUGCGUAGCCGACCUGAGAGGGUGAUCGGCCACACUGGAACUGAGACACGGUCCAGACUCCUACGGGAGGCAGCAGUAGGGAAUCUUCCGCAACGGGCGAAAGCCUGACGGAGCAACGCCGCGUGAGUGAUGGAGGUGUUCGGAUCGUAAAACUCUGAUAUUAGGGAAGAACAAAUGUGUAAGUAGCUAUGCACGUCUUGACGGUACCUAAUCAGAAAGCCACGGCUAACUACGUG
This 497-nucleotide ribosomal RNA is filed under the name uncultured bacterium. RNAcentral's name for it is "partial 16S ribosomal RNA". It matches the Rfam family "Bacterial small subunit ribosomal RNA", at positions 28 to 507 of the family's 1533-position model. The record is from RNAcentral.